This 250-nucleotide ribosomal RNA is filed under the name uncultured bacterium. RNAcentral describes it as "partial 16S ribosomal RNA". It matches the Rfam family "Bacterial small subunit ribosomal RNA", at positions 524 to 772 of the family's 1533-position model. The record is from RNAcentral.
GACAGAGGUGGCAAGCGUUGUUCGGAUUCAUUGGGUGUAAAGGGUGCGUAGGCGGUUUGGAAAGUCAGAUGUGAAAUACUACAGCUCAACUGUAGAACUGCAUUUGAAACUUCCAGGCUAGAGUGUGGAAGAGGUGAAGGGAAUUCCCGGUGUAAGGGUGGAAUCUGCAGAUAUCGGGAAGAACACCAGUAGCGAAGGCGCUUCACUGGUCCAUUACUGACGCUGAGUGCACGAAGGUGUGGGGAGCAAA